UCCAGACUCCUACGGGAGGCAGCAGUGGGAGAUAUUGCACAAUGGGGGAAACCCUGAUGCAGCGACGCCGCGUGAGUGAAGAAGUAUUUCGGUAUGUAAAGCUCUAUCAGCAGGGAAGAAAAAAGACGGUACCUGACUAAGAAGCCCCGGCUAACUACGUGCCAGCAGCCGCGGUAAUACGUAGGGGGCAAGCGUUAUCCGGAUUUACUGGGUGUAAAGGGAGCGUAGACGGCAAUACAAGUCGGAAGUGAAAUACCCGGGCUCAACCUGGGAACUGCUUUGGAAACUGUAUGGCUGGAGUGCUGGAGAGGUAAGCGGAAUUCCUAGUGUAGCGGUGAAAUGCGUAGAUAUUAGGAGGAACACCAGUGGCGAAGGCGGCUUACUGGACAGUAACUGACGUUGAGGCUCGAAAGCGUGGGGAGCAAACAGGAUUAGAUACCCGGGUAUCA
This 449-nucleotide ribosomal RNA is filed under the name uncultured bacterium. RNAcentral's name for it is "bacterial SSU rRNA". It matches the Rfam family "Bacterial small subunit ribosomal RNA", at positions 330 to 795 of the family's 1533-position model. The record is from RNAcentral.